This is a long non-coding RNA of Xenia sp. Carnegie-2017, 1164 nucleotides long. RefSeq lists it as uncharacterized. The transcript is spliced from 2 exons. NCBI's taxonomy places the organism in Eukaryota, Metazoa, Cnidaria, Anthozoa, Malacalcyonacea, Xeniidae. The record is from RefSeq and is a predicted model, not a curated record.
AAUGGGAGAAAGAGAGGCCAGCAACGCGUACGCCAAGCCUAAAACAAGUUUUAAAAAGUAAUAUUAGGAACGAAAAUCAUACGUAUACUAAUGUAUUCGACAUGUCUCUAAAACGACCAAUGAUAAUUCAAGUUUUUUGGGGGCUUGUUAUCUUUUGUGUCUAAUGCAUUCAGCAGAUGAAAUGUUCGACAUCAGUUAUCUCAAAGUCGUGCCUUUGGACAAUAAACAUCAGACGUUGAGUAGGUUUGUAAAGUCUCGCUCCUACGUGAUGUAAUGGUCGUCGUUUGGAUGUAAAUAAAUUUUGAGACUUGAAAUGUUGAAAAAAGAGCAUUGCAGUCUUUGAUGACAGGUGCGAAUGCGAAACGAUAAAAUGAGCGAUUACGGAAAACAUCAAAACUCCACAUGCUUAGAAUUGCGGCACUAUAUUAAUUAACAUAACUGUGAAUUGUGUUAUGUUAAAAAAUAGGAAUGACGAUAGUGAACUCAAUACUGCGGUAGAUUUUCAAUUAAAUUGUCAUCGAUUAUUACUUCAUGUGAAUGUAUGAAAAAAGAAGAUUCGAUAAGUGUUUUUAAUUUAACAUCAGUCAUUAUCAAGAGCGACUAAAAAGCAACUCAGAUCGUCGUCUCAAAAUAAACAACGACACCAACAAAUAACAAAUAAAAGUCUCAAAACUAACAAAUAAUAAACAAUUUGUAGCACGAAUGAAUAAACAAUUUCAGCGACAAAUAAUAAACAGUACGUCACAAAACUAAUAAAUCAUAAACAAUGCGUCAGUUACCAACAAAAAAUAAACAAAAAACUUGGAUGAUGAAUGACAUUCACAACAAGGACAGGAAACUCACUGAGUGGUUUUCAUUCACACACAUGUUGUUAAUCCUCUCUUGUUCUUCAUCAUAUUUCAGCCCGUUGCAUGAUGGUAUUUGCAACGGCGUUGCCGUACACUCGAGAGAAGGUGUCGGUCAGCAAAGCAAUAAGAAGAUUCAGUGUCACUAUUGUCAUUGCAGUUAAAAAUAAAACAACAAGUAUCCUCGCCAUAACUGGAUCAGCACUGACAAUUCCAUCAAGAUUAAACUCGUCCCCGACGGCCAUUCUAAACACGGUAUGCAACAAAUGGUUCCCUAGAAUAGUUGAAAAUAUUGCUUAUUGCUAAAAAAAAACAAAAA